CUGGAUGUCAGCCGGGGGAUGGAUUGGUUUUCUACUUGUGGAGCUGGUGAUACUUGCGUCUGCAGCGCAAGGUGGUCGGGAUCGAAAUGCAGGAUGGGUCUGAGGUAGACUUCAGAGGGGACCAAGUAGGAUGCCUAGAAGUUUGAUGUCAGCUGUCAGGCUCGUAGAGUGUAUAGGAGUGGUUGGUAGAGAGUUCUAGCUCGGGUUUGUGAGCUGAGUAGGCAGGUCUAGGAACCAGCCCUAGUGCCAUAGAUAGAGCGAGUGUU
RNAcentral lists this long non-coding RNA (266 nucleotides) under Manihot esculenta (cassava). RNAcentral describes it as "long non-coding RNA (MESC_LNC010124)". Lineage: Eukaryota; Viridiplantae; Streptophyta; Magnoliopsida; Malpighiales; Euphorbiaceae. The record is from RNAcentral.